GGUAUUUUGACUAUACGAAGGUAUUGAAAUAAGGCUUUAAUUGGGUGCUAAGAGAAUGGUUGAACAAAGAUUAACUUUCUUUUUAUUUAUAAUAGAAUUUGAUUUGAAAAUGAAAAAGUUUUUAUAAAAAUUUGGGACAAGAAGACCCUAUGAAUUUUUUUUAUAAUUUUAUUUAUAAUUUUUGAUUAAUGGAGUUAAAUGGAAUUUUAAGUUGGUUGGGGUGAUUUUUAAAGAAUGUUUAUCUUUAAAAGUAGGGACUAGAACCAGGAUUCUUGGUUGAUUGAGUAAAAUACUCUAGGGAUAACAGCGUUAUUAUUUUGGAUAGUUCAUAUAGAUAAAAUAGUUUGCGACCUCGAUGUUGGAUUAAGAUACUUUUUUAAUGUAGUCGUUAAAGGAAGGAGUUUGCUCAACUUUUGAAAUCUU
This 423-nucleotide ribosomal RNA is filed under the name Alectorobius mimon. RNAcentral's name for it is "Carios mimon partial large subunit ribosomal RNA". Lineage: Eukaryota; Metazoa; Arthropoda; Arachnida; Ixodida; Argasidae. The record is from RNAcentral.